NNNNNNNNNNNNNNAGCGGGUUCCACCCAGUCCCAGCCAGUUCUGGCUGGCUCCAACCAGUUCCAGCCGGCUAUAAUGCACCCACCGCAGGGCACGGCUGGGCCUGUCAGCCAAGAUGGUGGUGCCUCUGUGAAAACAUGUUUAAGAAAGAGCAGAAAAAGCUGGAGGGAAAGAGGAGGAGGGAACAAAAGGAGUGAGAAGAAGGGCUGGAGGAGGAGGAGGAGGAGGAGGAGGAGGAGGAGGAAGAGCAUCUCUGGGGGGUUUCUAACCAGGGCCGCCCCCCCGGGGUCGGGGUGGGGGUGGCAGCGGCACAUCCCUGUGCGGAUCCCGGAGACCCCGUCCCUGCGCCGGGAGAGGGGGGGUUUUUAGGAAGAUGCCGUUCCCAGGGUUUUGCUGGGAGGCCCUGGACACCCCCGUCCGUCGCGGGGCCGGGAUGAACGUCACCCCCGGGACCCCGGGAUGUCUGUGAGUCGCAGCCUCUGCAGGGGCCGGGAUGGCUCUUCCCAAAAAUGCUGUUCCCACAGACGCACCCCCGACUGCGCCCGCGCGGGGCCGCGGUGCCCGGGGUCCCUGGGGUCCCUGAAAUGGGCACACGGGCGGCAGAGCCCGGGCCACGCACGGACCCUUCUCUGAAGCCAGUUUCUGAUUUGUGUCCCUGCCCCGGGCAGCACCCCCGGGGGGGACGGAUGGGGGUCUCUCCCCACCCGGCCCGUCCCACAGCAGAGGGUCCCAUCUCUGUGCCCUCCCACGGGCGCUUCAGUGGGAGACGUGUCCUUGGGGGGUACGGACCACGUCGAACCCCUUCCCGCCCAGCCCCCCCGCAGCGCCCGGGUUCCUUUCCCCAAAAACCUCCUCUGGAACCGCGCGCCGAGGGUUUCCCGCUGCCCACGCAGGGAGAGACGGAGCCACCGGGUGAGGCUGCCCGGCGGGUGCCUCCCCGCUCCUCCCGUGCUGGAACACGGAUUUCAUCAUCCCCGAGCGAGAAAACCGCUUUGAUGGUUUUUCUGUCCAAAACAGCUGCCCUGGGGCCUUUCCCUCCGUCCCCGCGGAGGAGGUGGCCGGGGGGGCUGCAGCUCCCGUGUGUUUUGGGAUCGUGGUCCCUGCACCCUCACCCACGAAGGCUCCUGGUGUUUUCGGUAACACCUGGAAGGAGAGAGCUGCUGCAGCCCGGGAACUUCCAGGGCUCCACGGGGAGAUUCCUCCGUUUCCGUGCGGUCUGGGGAGCACAGGCAGGAGCAGUCUUUAUUUUCAAUAAAUGUAUGUACAUAGAUACAUACAUACACAUGUGUUUCGCUAUCUUCCCUUUCUUUCUUGGAGGAGGAACAAGGAAAAGAAGAAAAAAAAAGAAAAAAAAGAAAAAAAAAAGAAAAAGAAAAAAAAAAGAAAAAAAAAGAAAAAGAAAAAAAAAAGAAAAAAAAAGAAAAAGAAAAAAAAAAGAAAAAAAUAAAAAAAAAAGGAAAAAGAAAAAAAAAAGGAAAAAUAAUCCAUUGCCUUCUGCCUUUCUCCGUCUCUCUGCGCCCCAGCAGAGCACUGGGGUGAGCACUGGCCAACGCUGGGUGGGAAGGGAAGCCUGUAGAGAUGAAGUUGGGCACAGACACCCCCCGGCCCACAGACGCCCCUGGGGCCGCUCCUCCCGAAGCUGCGGCUCCGAGCACUGUCCCCCCCGGACCCUCCGCCUCCCGCUAGCUCCCGAGGCCGGGACCCCGAGGGAACCCCCCAGUUCGGUGCCCUGCACUGGACGGGGCCGGUGUCACCCCCGAGUGUCCGUCCUACAACCAGCCAUCCCAACGGGAACCAAUCCAUCCGGAGAGAGAGGCGACAGUCCUGCCAUAAUGGGUCUGUGCCGUGCUUCAGAAGGCUUCAUUUCCUUGAACAGAGAAAAGUCAAGUGAUAUCACUAAAAGGGAAAGAUUAGACUGAAAAAUAUGAAUUUAAAUGCAAACCCCGAGUGGAAUUUCUUGGAUGACCAAGAAAAAGGGACGGAUUUGAAAAUCCAUCUCGAAAGGCCUGGUGCCAGCGUUGGGGGCUGCCGGGGCCUCGGGGGGUCUCUGCUCCGACCUCCUGCUCCAAACCCCGCCGUCCCCCGGCAGACGCCUGGCACCGGACAGACCCCCCAGCACAGAGG
RNAcentral lists this long non-coding RNA (2124 nucleotides) under Calidris pugnax (ruff). Its description in RNAcentral is "lncRNA (ENSCPUG00000007124.1)". The record is from RNAcentral. Lineage: Eukaryota; Metazoa; Chordata; Aves; Charadriiformes; Scolopacidae.